UAUGGUUUCUCCUUUAACACACAGGGUUUAUUUUGCAAUUCUGGGCAACUGACUACUAUUUGUUCAUCACUGAUACAUGCAGUCCUGUACCAGAGUUACUAUGUUGUCCACUGGAGCCAGAAAGUGAUGAAAUAGAAGGAUAUUUGUUCCUUCAGUGCAAGGUAAGAUUAAGAAAGAACAACUGGAGGAUACCGUUUCUGUGAGGACGUCUGAGAAGAACGAUUUGGGGAAGAAGCUGUUAACUGCAGCUUUGAUGAAUGCCAAGGAGCAACAAAGAAAGCUGUUCACCACUGUCUAGCUAAUUGGCAGGUUUUUAAAAUUUAUCACCAGCCAAACAGCUCAAAGCUAAGAGUGUCCUGAAAAAUGAAUACAGAAAUUAUCUGAGAAUGUUUACCAUCAACAUGCAGAAUAAAAUAAAGAGGAGGAAAAUUACUGUUUUCUGAAACAGGCAAGACGAAUGGGUUUGGUUUUUAGAAAUGCAAGCCAUGCUCACAUCUUUUUUUGACAGAUUGUCAGCGGGUAAUAAAAUAUAUUCAAUAGCAAUGUUCAAUACAUUUUAAUAAUAUGGUCCUCAACACAUUAAUAUGCAAUCAGCUGGUCAAUAUAAGAAAAGCAGCCAUUGCUUAUGGUGGGUGUUCACACAUUGUUGAUGGAGGGUGGAAGUGUGGCUGGUUGGAUGAUGGAAGUGCCAGCAUGAGUAAUGAAUUCACAGUGUUGUCAGUGGAAAUAUGGGUG
This is a long non-coding RNA of Cyprinus carpio carpio, 735 nucleotides long. Lineage: Eukaryota; Metazoa; Chordata; Actinopteri; Cypriniformes; Cyprinidae. The record is from Ensembl.